Molecule: unclassified non-coding RNA, 269 nt
Filed under: Hevea brasiliensis (rubber tree)
Lineage: Eukaryota; Viridiplantae; Streptophyta; Magnoliopsida; Malpighiales; Euphorbiaceae
Source: RNAcentral
AGGUUGAUGAAGUUAAGGUAGAGCGACAGUGCGCCGGUGAUUGCCGCGCGCUCCGCCACGUCGCCACCCUGGCUGGCGUAGCCGUAGAUGUAAUCGUUCUUCAGGCGCUGGGUGUCCCAGGCGGUGAGGCCGGCGAACACCAGCACGCCGAUCACCGAGACGAUGAACUGCAACAUCGUGCUGGCGAUGAACAGGUUCACCAGGCUGGCGAGGAUGAUGCCGAACAGGCCCAUCAUCAGGAACGAUCCCAUCCCGGUCAGGUCACGCUU